AUGGGGAAGAUGCCGGUGCGGAUGAAGGCGGUGGUGUACGCGCUGUCGCCGUUCCAGCAGCAGGUGAUGCCGGGCCUGUGGAAGGACAUCACCACCAAGAUCCACCACAAGGUCUCCGAGAACUGGAUCUCCGCCACGCUCCUCAUCACCCCCGUCGUCGGCACCUACCAGUAUGCAAUGUGGUACAAGGAGCAGGAGAAGCUGUCCCACAGAUACUAA
RNAcentral lists this ribosomal RNA (219 nucleotides) under Triticum aestivum (bread wheat). Its description in RNAcentral is "partial small subunit ribosomal RNA". Lineage: Eukaryota; Viridiplantae; Streptophyta; Magnoliopsida; Poales; Poaceae. The record is from RNAcentral.